This is a long non-coding RNA of Mytilus californianus (California mussel), 471 nucleotides long. RefSeq lists it as uncharacterized. The transcript has 3 exons. Lineage: Eukaryota; Metazoa; Mollusca; Bivalvia; Mytilida; Mytilidae. The record is from RefSeq and is a predicted model, not a curated record.
AAAUCUUGCUUUUCUUUAAUAAUCUGCCACUAGACUUUAUAUCAAGUAGCCAUCAUAAAGGACAAACGAGAAAAUGAAGACCUUAUUGGUAGUUCUGUUGGCUUCUGUGGUCCUCCUUGGUAUGACGUCAGCACAGAGUUUUAAUCUUUUCCCUACCUUAGCCUCAUCGACAGCGGGUGGUCUUUUAACUUUAGGAGCAUUUGGAUUACCAUUUCUCCUUGCAAAUGGAGGUGGUAAUCUCUUUGGAGGAGGAGGAGGUGGUAAUUUCUUUGGAGGAGGGGGAAGAGGACCACCAGUGAACUUUCAGCCACUUAAUAUACCACCAUUUCCUCAACCAUUCAUUGGGCGAUUUCCACCAAGGCAUUGGUAAUUUGGAAGUCCUGCUAAAUUGAUAUAUGGAAUAUGUGCUGAAAUUCGUGCUGUCAGUUUAUUGUUAUGUUAGUUUGUCUAUUUUUUUUUAUUAAAAAUUAA